This 372-nucleotide ribosomal RNA is filed under the name uncultured organism. RNAcentral describes it as "bacterial SSU rRNA". It matches the Rfam family "Bacterial small subunit ribosomal RNA", at positions 526 to 896 of the family's 1533-position model. The record is from RNAcentral.
CGAGGGGUGCAAGCGUUGCUCGGAAUUAUUGGGCGUAAAGGGCAGGUAGGUGGUCUUAUUUGUCUUGUGUGAAAGCCUUGGGCUUAACCCAAGAAGUGCGCAAGAAACGGUAAGACUAGAGUCCCAGAGAGGCUUGUGGAAUUCCCGGUGUAGCGGUGAAAUGCGUAGAGAUCGGGAGGAACACCAGAGGCGAAGGCGGCAAGCUGGAUGGGCACUGACACUCAACUGCGAAAGCGUGGGGAGCAAACAGGAUUAGAUACCCUGGUAGUCCACGCCGUAAACGAUGGGUACUAGCUUUGGUGGGUCUUGACCCCCGCUGAAGCGGCGCUAACGCACUAAGUACCCCGCCUGGGAAGUACGGUCGCAAGACUA